Molecule: ribosomal RNA, 493 nt
Filed under: Burkholderia cenocepacia
Lineage: Bacteria; Pseudomonadati; Pseudomonadota; Betaproteobacteria; Burkholderiales; Burkholderiaceae
Also listed under: 1 other name
Description: bacterial SSU rRNA
Rfam family: Bacterial small subunit ribosomal RNA
Source: RNAcentral
GAAUAAGCACCGGCUAACUACGUGCCAGCAGCCGCGGUAAUACGUAGGGUGCGAGCGUUAAUCGGAAUUACUGGGCGUAAAGCGUGCGCAGGCGGUUUGCUAAGACCGAUGUGAAAUCCCCGGGCUCAACCUGGGAACUGCAUUGGUGACUGGCAGGCUAGAGUAUGGCAGAGGGGGGUAGAAUUCCACGUGUAGCAGUGAAAUGCGUAGAGAUGUGGAGGAAUACCGAUGGCGAAGGCAGCCCCCUGGGCCAAUACUGACGCUCAUGCACGAAAGCGUGGGGAGCAAACAGGAUUAGAUACCCUGGUAGUCCACGCCCUAAACGAUGUCAACUAGUUGUUGGGGAUUCAUUUCCUUAGUAACGUAGCUAACGCGUGAAGUUGACCGCCUGGGGAGUACGGUCGCAAGAUUAAAACUCAAAGGAAUUGACGGGGACCCGCACAAGCGGUGGAUGAUGUGGAUUAAUUCGAUGCAACGCGAAAAACCUUACCUA